RNAcentral lists this long non-coding RNA (1476 nucleotides) under Diabrotica virgifera virgifera (western corn rootworm). Its description in RNAcentral is "uncharacterized LOC126881643". Lineage: Eukaryota; Metazoa; Arthropoda; Insecta; Coleoptera; Chrysomelidae. The record is from RNAcentral.
AACCUUACUUUUAUAAGUGAUUAGGAUUAUUAUUAUUAUUUUAUUUACAUGUAAAUUGAAACAAUAAAUAUUGUGCUGUGUCAUAAUUUCAAACUCAUUAUGUUGCAGUCUUUUCCAGUUGAUAAAAUUGCAAUUCAAAAACUUUUAGGUAGAUUUGCACUGUAUGGAUGGCACAGGAAGAGAACAAAGAGUACAAGAACAUGAAACAUCUUAUUAUGAAUGUAUAUGUAUGUGAUCCUCAAAAAAUUAUUUUACAAAACAAGAUAGAGAAAGAGCUUUAAAAUCCCAAGGAUCCUGCAAAAUGUUUAUUUGGUGUACUAGUCGAAUAAUAGUAUCUAAAAAUAUUGAAACUAUUUUAAAACACAUUACGGGCAUGAGGAUGAUAUAGAGCACUUACAUAAAUACCAAAAUCAGAUAAAUAUCUCUUCAAAGUUUAUUUUGAGACUUUCUUCAAAAAUUAAACUUCAGACUGUUCAGGAUAGCAUAAUAGCAUAGGAGGCGAAUUAAAAAGAAUUGAUUUACUUACAAAGAAAAGAUAUCACAAACAUUAAACUCUCUUAUGGCAUUGAUUUCAAAGAUGGGUAUAUGUACAAUGAUGAUGCAACCAGUGUUUAUUUUUGGGUUGAAUGCUUACAGACUUACGUCCAAUAUUAUUUUACAAACAACAGGGCAUACUAAUGGAUAUUCAUUCUGAAUUUAACAUUUAUGAUUUUUGUCUUAUUUUCCUUAAUACUGUGCCAAAAGGAAAUGUUAAUUAAGUUUGGUAAAUCCUGUAUCGCAAUCGAUGGAACUCAUGGGCUCAAUUCCUAUGACUUUGAACUUAUGACAGUAUUAGUAAAAGAUGAAUUUGGGAAUGGAUUUUGUACUGCUUUCUUAUUUUCAAAUAGAAAAGAUACCUACUUUAAUUUACCAAUUUUUUUAAAUACAUGUCUGUGUUGGUAUUAUAGUCAAAUGUUUUCAUAUCAGGCAUAAGCGACACCUUUUACAACGCCUCGUCAAAUGUAAUGGGUAUUGCUCCUAAUAGACUGUUAAGUGCCUGGCACAUAGAUAAGGCAUGGUAAGUAAAUCUUAAUAAAAUAUCAUUCUGAAAAAAAUCCUAUUAUGUAUACAAGAUGUAUUAAUGAUGGUUUAGAGAGUAUUAAUAGCUUUUUGGGUAGACUUCUAAGUGAUGCAGAUACAUACAAUUUUAGUAAGUAUUUCCAGUAGAACUACUGCAAUAACAUCCAACAAUGGGCCUAUUGUUAUAGGAAGGGGUUGUGGAAUUAAUACCAAUAUGACCAUUCAAAAUUUUCAUAAAAUUUUGGAUAAAAGGGUAUCCAUUAGUUGUUAUCAGUUAAGUUUAAAACUUGGCACUCAUGGAGAGCUAUACCAUAAUAUAUAAUAGGUAUAUCUCAUAAUAUUACAUCUCAUAUUGUUCACUACAGUAGUAAUGAGUGAGCCUGCAUACACAGAACCAUAAUAAUAUAUUAGUUCGUG